ACAAUGAUACUCCCGUCUUUCUUCGGAAAGGCGGCUCGGAGCGAUCCUCGGAGGGGUGAGAGUCCCAUGA
RNAcentral lists this non-coding RNA (70 nucleotides) under unclassified sequences. Its description in RNAcentral is "pemK RNA". It matches the Rfam family "pemK RNA". RNAcentral also lists the same sequence under 1 other name. The record is from RNAcentral.